This 71-nucleotide small RNA is filed under the name Sinorhizobium meliloti 2011. Its description in RNAcentral is "putative ncRNA". The record is from RNAcentral. Lineage: Bacteria; Pseudomonadati; Pseudomonadota; Alphaproteobacteria; Hyphomicrobiales; Rhizobiaceae.
AACUGAUUAGGAAGAGGACGGCGGGUUUCAGUAGCUGAAGCAUUGCAUGGCCGUCCGCGUCGUUGAUCGAG